GCGGGCAUGGUUUAAUGGUAGAACGCGUCCUUGCCAAGGACGAGAUCGGAGUUCGAUUCUCCGUACCCGCACUA
Molecule: transfer RNA, 74 nt
Filed under: Candidatus Kaiserbacteria bacterium RIFCSPHIGHO2_01_FULL_54_36b
Lineage: Bacteria; Candidatus Kaiseribacteriota
Also listed under: 1 other name
Description: tRNA-Gly
Rfam family: tRNA
About the family: Transfer RNA (tRNA) molecules are approximately 80 nucleotides in length.
Source: RNAcentral